CCCUAGUAACUGCGAGUGAAGCGGGAAAAGCUCAAAUUUAAAAUCUGGCGGUCUUUGGCCGUCCGAGUUGUAGUCUGGAGAAGCGUCUUCUACGCCGGACCGUGUACAAGUCCCUUGGAACGGGGCGUCAUAGAGGGUGAGAAUCCCGUCCAUGACACGGACCGCCGGCGGUUUGUGAUGCGCUCUCGAAGAGUCGAGUUGUUUGGGAAUGCAGCUCAAAACGGGUGGUAAAUUCCAUCUAAAGCUAAAUACUGGCGAGAGACCGAUAGCGAACAAGUACCGUGAGGGAAAGAUGAAAAGCACUUUGGAAAGAGAGUUAAACAGUACGUGAAAUUGCUGAAAGGGAAACGCUUGAAGUCAGUCGCGUCGGCCGGGGCUCAGCCUUGCAUUCGUUUGCUCGGUUUACUUCCCGGUCGACGGGCCAGCGUCGAUUUUGACCGUCGGAGAAGGGCCAGAGGAAAGUGGCACCUUCGGGUGUGUUAUAGCCUUCGGUCGCAUACGACGGUUGGGAUCGAGGAACGCAGCACGCCUUCGAUGGCCGGGGCGUCCGUGCCCACGUAUCGUGCUUAGGA
RNAcentral lists this ribosomal RNA (572 nucleotides) under Laetiporus cincinnatus. RNAcentral's name for it is "eukaryotic LSU rRNA". It matches the Rfam family "Eukaryotic large subunit ribosomal RNA", at positions 78 to 623 of the family's 3401-position model. Lineage: Eukaryota; Fungi; Basidiomycota; Agaricomycetes; Polyporales; Laetiporaceae. The record is from RNAcentral.